Molecule: ribosomal RNA, 497 nt
Filed under: uncultured bacterium
Lineage: Bacteria
Description: partial 16S ribosomal RNA
Rfam family: Bacterial small subunit ribosomal RNA
Source: RNAcentral
GAUGAACGCUGGCGGCGUGCCUAAUACAUGCAAGUCGAGCGAACGGACGAGAAGCUUGCUUCUCUGAUGUUAGCGGCGGACGGGUGGGUAACACGUGGAUAACCUACCUAUAAGACUGGGAUAACUUCGGGAAACCGGAGCUAAUACCGGAUGAUAUUUUGAACCGCAUGGUUCAAAAGUGAAAGACGGUCCUGCUGUCACUUAUAGAUGGAUCCGCGCUGCAUUAGCUAGUUGGUAAGGUAACGGCUUACCAAGGCAACGAUGCAUAGCCGACCUGAGAGGGUGAUCGGCCACACUGGAACUGAGACACGGUCCAGACUCCUACGGGAGGCAGCAGUAGGGAAUCUUCCGCAGUGGGCGAAAGCCUGACGGAGCAACGCCGCGUGAGUGAUGAAGGUCUUCGGAUCGUAAAACUCUGUUAUUAGGGAAGAACAUAUGUGUAAGUAACUGUGCACAUCUUGACGGUACCUAAUCAGAAAGCCACGGCUAACUACGUG